AUUGAACGCUGGCGGAAUGCUUUACACAUGCAAGUCGAACGGCAGCACGGGGCAACCUGGUGGCGAGUGGCGAACGGGUGAGUAAUACAUCGGAACGUGCCCAAUCGUGGGGGAUAACGUAGCGAAAGUUACGCUAAUACCGCAUACGAUCUACGGAUGAAAGCGGGGGAACGCAAGACCUCGCGCGAAUGGAGCGGCCGAUGUCAGAUUAGGUAGUUGGUGGGGUAAAGGCUCACCAAGCCAACGAUCUGUAGCUGGUCUGAGAGGACGACCAGCCACACCGGAACUGAGACACGGUCCAGACUCCUACGGGAGGCAGCAGUGGGGAAUUUUGGACAAUGGGCGAAAGCCUGAUCCAGCCAUUCCGCGUGAGUGAAGAAGGCCUUCGGGUU
Molecule: ribosomal RNA, 392 nt
Filed under: uncultured bacterium
Lineage: Bacteria
Description: bacterial SSU rRNA
Rfam family: Bacterial small subunit ribosomal RNA
Source: RNAcentral